GAUGAACGCUGGCGGCGUGCCUAAUACAUGCAAGUCGAGCGAACAGAUAAGGAGCUUGCUCCUUUGACGUUAGCGGCGGACGGGUGAGUAACACGUGGAUAACCUACCUAUAAGACUGGGAUAACUUCGGGAAACCGGAGCUAAUACCGGAUAACAUAUUGAACCGCAUGGUUCAAUAGUGAAAGGCGGCUUUGCUGUCACUUAUAGAUGGAUCCGCGCCGUAUUAGCUAGUUGGUAAGGUAACGGCUUACCAAGGCAACGAUACGUAGCCGACCUGAGAGAGUGACCGCCGACACUAGAACAGAAACACGAUCAAGAAUCCUACGACAGGCAGCAGUGGGAUAACUACAGCACGGGGCGAAACCCUGGCGAAGCAACGCCACGUGGGCAAUGAAGAUCUUCGAAUCGUAAAACUCUGUUAUCCGGGAAGAACAAAUGUGUAAGUAAAUAUGCACAUCUUGACGGUACCUGAUCAGAAAGGCACGGCUAACUACGUG
This 497-nucleotide ribosomal RNA is filed under the name uncultured bacterium. RNAcentral describes it as "partial 16S ribosomal RNA". It matches the Rfam family "Bacterial small subunit ribosomal RNA", at positions 28 to 507 of the family's 1533-position model. The record is from RNAcentral.